This 427-nucleotide ribosomal RNA is filed under the name Stenotrophomonas sp. enrichment culture. RNAcentral describes it as "bacterial SSU rRNA". It matches the Rfam family "Bacterial small subunit ribosomal RNA", at positions 355 to 774 of the family's 1533-position model. Lineage: Bacteria; Pseudomonadati; Pseudomonadota; Gammaproteobacteria; Lysobacterales; Lysobacteraceae. The record is from RNAcentral.
UGGGGAAUAUUGGACAAUGGGCGCAAGCCUGAUCCAGCCAUACCGCGUGGGUGAAGAAGGCCUUCGGGUUGUAAAGCCCUUUUGUUGGGAAAGAAAUCCAGCCGGCUAAUACCUGGUUGGGAUGACGGUACCCAAAGAAUAAGCACCGGCUAACUUCGUGCCAGCAGCCGCGGUAAUACGAAGGGUGCAAGCGUUACUCGGAAUUACUGGGCGUAAAGCGUGCGUAGGUGGUCGUUUAAGUCUGUUGUGAGAGCCCUGGGCUCAACCUGGGAACUGCAGUGGAAACUGGACGACUAGAGUGUGGUAGAGGGUAGCGGAAUUCCUGGUGUAGCAGUGAAAUGCGUAGAGAUCAGGAGGAACAUCCAUGGCGAAGGCAGCUACCUGGACCAACACUGACACUGAGGCACGAAAGCGUGGUGAGCAAACA